UAUAGUAUAGAGAAGGCAAGAUGUUGGCAUAGCUGACAUGUGAAUUAUUUCUCAGAUGUGUCACAUCUAGCCAACUUUUGCU
This 82-nucleotide microRNA precursor is filed under the name Trialeurodes vaporariorum (greenhouse whitefly). RNAcentral's name for it is "microRNA mir-31". The record is from RNAcentral. Lineage: Eukaryota; Metazoa; Arthropoda; Insecta; Hemiptera; Aleyrodidae.